This 440-nucleotide ribosomal RNA is filed under the name uncultured bacterium. RNAcentral describes it as "partial 16S ribosomal RNA". It matches the Rfam family "Bacterial small subunit ribosomal RNA", at positions 339 to 795 of the family's 1533-position model. The record is from RNAcentral.
CUACGGGAGGCAGCAGUGGGGAAUAUUGCACAAUGGGCGCAAGCCUGAUGCAGCAACGCCGCGUGAACGAAGAAGGUUUUCGGAUCGUAAAGUUCUUUUCUUGGGGAAGAAACCAUGACGGUACCCAAGGAAUAAGCACCGGCUAACUACGUGCCAGCAGCCGCGGUAAUACGUAGGGUGCAAGCGUUAUCCGGAAUCACUGGGCGUAAAGGGUGCGUAGGCGGUUUUACAAGUCAGAAGUGAAAGGCAAUGGCUCAACCAUUGUAAGCUUUUGAAACUGUAAGACUUGAAUGCAGGAGAGGUAAGUGGAAUUCCUAGUGUAGCGGUGAAAUGCGUAGAUAUUAGGAGGAACACCAGUGGCGAAGGCGACUUACUGGACUGUUAUUGACGCUGAGGCACGAAAGCGUGGGGAGCGAACAGGAUUAGAUACCCUGGUAGUC